GAUGAAGAACGUAGCGAAAUGCGAUACGUAAUGUGAAUUGCAGAAUUCAGUGAAUCAUCGAGUCUUUGAACGCACAUUGCGCCCCCUGGUAUUCCGGGGGGCAUGCCUGUCCGAGCGUCAUUGCUGCCCUCAAGCACGGCUUGUGUGUUGGGCCUCCGUCCUCCCCCCGGGGGACGGGCCCGAAAGGCAGCGGCGGCACCGCGUCCGGUCCUCGAGCGUAUGGGGCUUCGUCACCCGCUCUUGUAGGCCCGGCCGGCGCUUGCCGACACAUCAAUCUUUUUUCCAGGUUGACCUCGGAUCAGGUAGGGAUACCCGCUGAACUUAAGCUUAUCAAUAAGCGGAGGA
Molecule: unclassified non-coding RNA, 345 nt
Filed under: soil metagenome
Description: partial contains 5.8S ribosomal RNA, internal transcribed spacer 2, and large subunit ribosomal RNA
Rfam family: 5.8S ribosomal RNA (bases 1-120)
Source: RNAcentral